UCCUCUACAAUCGGCUUCUUUUCCGGUGGCUCCUUUUCCUCCUUUUUCUUCUUCUUCUUCUUCUUCUCUAUCUCGUCCUUCUGAUCCUCACCUCCACCUACAACCGCCACCAUCUCAGCCUCCACGGCAGCUCGCCAUCCUUCACCAUUUCCCUUCUCAAAAUACUUAACAGCAACCUGCAUCCUUCUAAGAAUAGCAAAGAAUUCCUCGACUUCCUCCUC
Molecule: unclassified non-coding RNA, 221 nt
Filed under: Hevea brasiliensis (rubber tree)
Lineage: Eukaryota; Viridiplantae; Streptophyta; Magnoliopsida; Malpighiales; Euphorbiaceae
Source: RNAcentral